RNAcentral lists this ribosomal RNA (253 nucleotides) under uncultured bacterium. RNAcentral describes it as "partial 16S ribosomal RNA". It matches the Rfam family "Bacterial small subunit ribosomal RNA", at positions 524 to 776 of the family's 1533-position model. The record is from RNAcentral.
UACGUAGGGAGCGAGCGUUGUCCGGAUUUAUUGGGCGUAAAGCGUGCGUAGGCGGCUGCGCAAGUCGGUUGUGAAACCCCGGGGCUCAACCCCGGAACUGCAUCCGAUACUGCGUGGCUAGAGGUAGGUAGGGGAGAUCGGAAUUCCUGGUGUAGCGGUGAAAUGCGCAGAUAUCAGGAGGAACACCGGUGGCGAAGGCGGAUCUCUGGGCCUUACCUGACGCUCAGGCACGAAAGCUAGGGGAGCAAACAGG